GAACGGGUGAGUAACACGUGGGCAAUCUGCCCUUCACUCUGGGACAAGCCCUGGAAACGGGGUCUAAUACCGGAUACGACACGGGGUCGCAUGACCUCCGUGUGGAAAGCUCCGGCGGUGAAGGAUGAGCCCGCGGCCUAUCAGCUUGUUGGUGGGGUGAUGGCCUACCAAGGCGACGACGGGUAGCCGGCCUGAGAGGGCGACCGGCCACACUGGGACUGAGACACGGCCCAGACUCCUACGGGAGGCAGCAGUGGGGAAUAUUGCACAAUGGGCGAAAGCCUGAUGCAGCGACGCCGCGUGAGGGAUGACGGCCUUCGGGUUGUAAACCUCUUUCAGCAGGGAAGAAGCGAGAGUGACGGUACCUGCAGAAGAAGCGCCGGCUAACUACGUGCCAGCAGCCGCGGUAAUACGUAGGGCGCAAGCGUUGUCCGGAAUUAUUGGGCGUAAAGAGCUCGUAGGCGGCUUGUCACGUCGGAUGUGAAAGCCCGGGGCUUAACCCCGGGUCUGCAUUCGAUACGGGCAGGCUAGAGUUCGGUAGGGGAGAUCAGAAUUCCUGGUGUAGCGGUGAAAUGCGCAGAUAUCANGANGAACACGGGUGGCGAAAGCGGAUCUCUGGGCCGAUACUGACNCUGAGNAGCGAAG
This 645-nucleotide ribosomal RNA is filed under the name Streptomyces sp. 2323_2. Its description in RNAcentral is "bacterial SSU rRNA". It matches the Rfam family "Bacterial small subunit ribosomal RNA", at positions 100 to 758 of the family's 1533-position model. The record is from RNAcentral. Lineage: Bacteria; Bacillati; Actinomycetota; Actinomycetes; Kitasatosporales; Streptomycetaceae.